This 211-nucleotide long non-coding RNA is filed under the name Panax ginseng (ginseng). Its description in RNAcentral is "long non-coding RNA (PGIN_LNC014737)". The record is from RNAcentral. Lineage: Eukaryota; Viridiplantae; Streptophyta; Magnoliopsida; Apiales; Araliaceae.
UUCGAAAUCACAUUUAGAGAACCAACCCAGAUCGAAACGGAUAUGGAAUUGAGUGAAAUCUACAAACAAAGCAUAGCAGAACCAACAAACCCAUCUGAACUGAACAUAGAUUUCCAACAGAAAACACCGGAAAACACAGGCAACAAUAAACCAGAAACCCAAGACGGUAUUGCCAAUAACAAACUUAGAUCCCAAAUCUGAACAAGAAAAG